AAUGUGACCGUCGAGCGCACACACACAUACAAGCUGAUAUAUGUUCUUCAGAAAGACUAGUAAUAAUCUCCUUUCCUGCUAGAAGAUUUCUCUUUUCGAGGAAUUAUUCUGCAAGAGGAAUUCGCCAUGGCCGAUGCCAUCUUUUCUGCUUUUGUUAGUGAUAUGGUCAGUAGAGGGAUCUCAUUUGUAUUUGAGCAUUUUGGUCACCAACAAAGCACAGAAGCCAAGCUACAAAGGUUAUGCCACAUGCUCACCAGGGUCCACAGCGUCGUAGAGGAGGCUAAAGGAAGGCAGAUCACGAAUGAUGGCACCCUCCAGUGGCUCUCGGAGCUCAUUGAUGGUGAGUUCCAGGGGCGGUAUUUGCUUGACACAAUCAGAAGCGGUGAGCACGAUAUUGAAGAAGAUGAGCACGAUGGCGACAAGGUAGCUCCUCCCCGAGCUUUCUCCAUAUCUGUGCUUAAUCCUUUGAAGCGUGUGCGGAUUGCUACCAAGGACGUCUUGUUACAAAAUGAUGGCGGAGUUGAUGAGAUCCACAGGGUUCUUGAGAGCUUGCAGGGCAUAUCCGGUGAUCUCAAGGAGUUCAUCAUGCUCAUGCAAAACUGCCAACCAAUCGGACGGCCGCUACCAACAAACAUCUUUGUUGAUGGACAGAUGUUUGGUCGCCAUGUUGAGAAGGAGAGGAUCAUCAACUUCCUCCUCCAUGACGGGGGUGGGUCAAUUGGAAAGUUGGGUGUGCUAGCUAUAGUUGGUGACAUCGGAGUGAGAAAGACAACCUUGGUGCAGCAUGCUUGCGAUGAUGCUAGGGUGCGCAACUAUUUCCCGGUGAUCAUACUGUGCUGUACAUAUGCCAUAGCGGCGAAUGGUGGAACCGUUGUUCUACAGUCCAAACAUGUCAUCGGAGGUGCAGAUAUGAACUGGAAUGACCCAGUGCAGUUAGAUAAUGGGAGCUUUGGCAACAAGAGGUUCCUAAUGGUAUUUGAGGACAUGGAUAUGCAUAAGAAGAAGAUGUUGGAAGGGCUCCUACCAGUCCUGAGAAGGGAAUGCAAGGAGGGGAGCAAGGUAAUCAUCACAACCAAAAAUCCGAGGGUCGCAACCAUUGGAACCGUGGAGCCGAUCAUACUCAAGGCCUUGCCCUUCCCGGAGUACUGGUUCUUCUUCAAGGCUCAUGCCUUCGCAGGCAGAGAUGUUGAGGAAAACCCAAGGCUUGUAGCACUCGGCAAAGCGAUUGCGAGGAAACUAAAUGGGUCAUUCUUUGGUGCAAAGAUUGUCGGAGGUGUCCUAAGGGAUUAUCCAAAUCAUAUGGAUGGUGUAAGGUCUUGAGAAGCAACAUUGAAGGCUUGUCUCUGCUGGGUGAUGGCAUUGGUUACAUUGCAGAUUUGGCUGGGAACUUGCUUCCGAGUCAUGUGGACAUGUUCCUGGUGACAAUUUUUACUGACACCUUGGCUUCUCAUAGUGAUUUCACAACGUUAAAAGAUCUGUCUGGGGGCCAUGGCAGUGAGGCCUGCUUGGCAGCAGAAAACAUAAACUUAAAACCUACAAUGGCAGAUGCCAUCAUCUCUGCCAUCAUAGGCGAUGUUGUCAGUAGAGCGAUUUCUCUUCUCGUUGGGCGCUUUAGCAACCAAGAAAGCACUGAAGACAAGCUGCAAAGGAUAAGCCAUCUGCUCAUCAGAAUCCACAGCGUGGUAGAGGAAGCAAAAGGGCGGCAGAUCUCCAACCACGGCACCUUCCAGUGGCUCUCGGAGCUCAUCAACAGUGAGUACCAGGGCUUUUACUUGCUCGAUUCCAUCAGGUGUGGAAACCAGGAGGCUGAGCGAUGUGACCAUAAGGUAAAUCCCCAAGUUUCCACCUUGUCCUUGUUUAACCCUGCAAAGCGUGUGAGGGUUGCUGGGUGCACCAUGAGGAGCUCAUACUCCUGGCACCAUGAUCUCAGUGUUGAUGAGAUUAACAGGGUGCUCAAGAGAUUGCAAGGCAUGUCUUGUGAUCUCAUGGAGUUCAUCAUGCUCUUGCAAAACUGCCAGCCAAUCCGCCGGCCUCUAGGCACUAACAUCUUCCGUGAAGGGCAGAUGUUCGGUCGGCAUGUUGAGAAAGAGAGGAUAAUCAACUUUCUGUUGCAUGAGGAUGAUCAGUCAACAGGGGAAUUGGGUGUGCUACCAAUUGUUGGCGGCAAUGGAGUUGGGAAGACAACCCUGGUGCAACACGCCUGCGAUGAUGCCAGAGUGCGCAACCACUUCCCGGUGAUCUUGAUGUACUCUUGUAUCUAUGACAUUAAAAAGAGCGAAGGAACUCCAAAUGACCCACUGGGGUAUGUCAAGAGGAAUAGUUUUUGUGACAAGAGGUGCCUGAUGGUUUUUGAGGAUGUUGACAUGCAUAGGAAGCAGAUACUCGAGGAGUUCCUGCAGAGCCUGAGAUGCAGCAAGGAAGGGAGCAAGAUAAUCAUCACGACUAUCAGUCAGCGUAUUGCAAACAUUGGAACAGUGGAGCCAAUCAUACUAACCGCAUUGCCCUGCCCUGAGUACUGGUUCUUCUUCAAGGCGCAUGCAUUUGCAGGUAGAGACGUGGAAGAUAGCCCAAGGCUGAUGGCUGCAGGGAAAGAAAUAGCAAGGAAGCUGAACGGGUCAUUCAUUGGUGCGAAGAUGGUUGGAGGUGUGCUUAGGGACCACCCGGAUCCAAAGUUCUGGUGCAACGUCCUGAGGAGCAACAUUGGGGGGAUGUAUCAGAUCGGUGGUGUCAUCAGCUACAUAUCGGACAUAGCUGGAAACUUGCUACCAGGUCAUGUGGACAUGUGCAGGGUGACCAUUUCUAAGGACCCGUUUCCUCCUGAGACGACAGAGUUGGCCAGGUUCAAGGAUCUGUGCCAUACUGUUCCAAAUGGAAGCAUGAUGGCAUGUUUGGCAGAUGACAUCCAAUUUGCGAAAGUGUUGUUGUGCAAGUCAGUGUUUCCGUUCUUUAAUGAGCACUAUAUUGCUCAUUGCUCUUACACUUGCACCGUAGGCUCUUGUUCAACUCUCGAACUCUCUCUUCCAUCUACAGUUGAGAGAGGCGAAAGGGAGGCGAUUCGUGCUCCCGCCGGCGAGGUCGCCGUUCCCCUUCGCCUCCGGCGGCUGUUGAGCCCUUGGAUGUGAGUGGGAACGGUGGCUCUCGUUCGAGCGGUGUAGAUUAGGUACUAGCUUGUCUAAGGUCUGGUGUCCAGUGGCGACGUCAAGGCGGCGGCGGCGGCGGCGGCGGCAAGGAAUAAGGUUCUCCCGGUCUCUUCCUCGCCCCGAUGGUGCUCCGCUCCGGCGCCGUCGGCGAGGCUGUGGAGGAGGGGCGUCCAGCGUGAAGCCCCAGUUCAGGAGCCGUCUGCUAGUGGCUCGUCGUUUGGUGAGUUCGCUGGCUUCUGUUGUCGAGGAUGGAGCGACAGCUCAGGGUCCUGUGGUUCUUGGGAGAGUGGAUCUACGCUCGGUUGUCCUGUGGCGGCAGGUCCCGUCGCCGGCGAGUCUGGAUCCAGGGGCGCUGGUGCUCGGGGCAUGUCCCCGGGCGAUGCUUUCUCAGCGUUUGCUUCAUCUUGCUCUUCGGUGCGAGUGUCUACUACGGCUCUUUCAAAGCCUCGCGGCGAUGGGGCUCCAGUUGUCCUGCAGUUGGCGGAGUUUGGCCUCCGGCGAUGGUCGGCGGCGACGGACUUCAGUGGAUUCGGCUUGCACUGGGUCAAGGGACUUGGUUGUAAUUGUUUUGUUUUCAGGGGCCUGUGUGCUAGUUUGCCGUAUCAGCUGUGCUCUGUAUCCUUCCUUGGUGUACCUGUAUUUGUACUGUCCUUAACGUAUAAUACAGGUAUGUCUUGAA
This is an RNA transcript of Panicum virgatum (switchgrass), 3819 nucleotides long. RefSeq lists it as uncharacterized. The transcript has 3 exons. NCBI's taxonomy places the organism in Eukaryota, Viridiplantae, Streptophyta, Magnoliopsida, Poales, Poaceae. The record is from RefSeq and is a predicted model, not a curated record.